RNAcentral lists this ribosomal RNA (253 nucleotides) under uncultured bacterium. RNAcentral describes it as "partial 16S ribosomal RNA". It matches the Rfam family "Bacterial small subunit ribosomal RNA", at positions 524 to 776 of the family's 1533-position model. The record is from RNAcentral.
UACGUAGGCAGCAAACGUUGUUCGGAAUUACUGGGCGUAAAGCGCGUGUAGGCGGCACGGCAUGUCGGAUGUGAAAUCCCAUGGCUCAACCAUGGAGGUGCACCCGAAACUGCCGAGCUAGAGUCUCGGAGAGGAAGGCGGAAUGCUUGGUGUAGAGGUGAAAUUCGUAGAUAUCAAGCGGAACACCGGUGGCGAAGGCGGCCUUCUGGACGAUGACUGACGCUGAGACGCGAAAGCGUGGGGAGCAAACAGG